AAUAGAAACAGGUUACUGUAUGUCUCCUAUUCCGCUACAGCUGUCUGCAUUACUUGUUUUUCCCCUGCAGUUUAUGUAAGGUGAAUGAGACCUGAAUUAUAAAUUGAUUAGCUAUUGUGUGCAGAAAAAAUAAUAAAGAAACCUAAUGAAGUACAGGAGAUACUUGAAGCUAUCUGGAUUUUAAUUUGUGCAGCUAACAUUGUAAAAGCAUGCACGCUCCUGUGAGAUACCAGAAGUACCAAAUACAAAAGUUAAUUGAACAUGGCAUUUAUCAGAAAGAAGCAAAUGUUAAAACUAUGUUACGCUGAUACAGACAGUCAAUUCAAUGUAACAGCAAGGACAGCAACAGGAAAUGGACAAGUCAAUCAACUACCUCUGUGACUGUACCACGUUCUCCUGCCUGCCUUGGAGUCUCUGUGGGCCCUCUGAAGAAAGGCAGGUAAGCAG
Phalacrocorax carbo (great cormorant) is the source of this 447-nucleotide non-coding RNA. The record is from RefSeq and is a predicted model, not a curated record. Lineage: Eukaryota; Metazoa; Chordata; Aves; Suliformes; Phalacrocoracidae.